Molecule: ribosomal RNA, 468 nt
Filed under: uncultured bacterium
Lineage: Bacteria
Description: partial 16S ribosomal RNA
Rfam family: Bacterial small subunit ribosomal RNA
Source: RNAcentral
GACGAACGCUGGCGGCGUGCUUAAUACAUGCAAGUCGAACGGACAGGCCCUGCUCUUGUGGGGUGCUCGAGUGGCGAACGGGUGAGUAACACGUGAGUAACCUGCCCUUGACUUUGGGAUAACUUCUGGAAACUGGGGCUAAUACAGGAUAGGAGAUCUUGCUGCACGGUGGGGGUUGGAAAGUUUCGGCGGUUGGGGAUCGUCUCGCGGCUUCUGAGCUAGUUGGUGGGGUAGUGGCGUACCAAGGCUAUGACGGGUAGCCGGCCUGGGAGGGGGGCCGGCCACAAGAGUACUGAGAGACGGACCAGUAUCCUACGUGCGGCAGCAGUGGAGAGUAUGGCGCAGUAGGCGGGAGCCAGUGGCAGAAGCGCCGGGUGCGGGAUAACGGCCUACGGGUGGUAAACCGCUGUGGCCUGUGACGAGGCGUGAGUGACGGUAAUGGGUAAAGAAGCACCGGCUAACUACGUG